Dama dama (fallow deer) is the source of this 1998-nucleotide long non-coding RNA. RefSeq lists it as uncharacterized. The transcript is spliced from 3 exons. Lineage: Eukaryota; Metazoa; Chordata; Mammalia; Artiodactyla; Cervidae. The record is from RefSeq and is a predicted model, not a curated record.
GGUACCCAGGAGGCGCCAGUGCGGGCGGCUGGUGGAGGCGCUUUAUUUUAAAAAAAACUUUGACAGUCUUCUAUCUCCCCCACCCCCAAGUCCUUGAGGCUUUUACUCCCAGGUUCUACCAUCCCUCUUCCCUAAAAAGUACAAUUUACAGUAGACCUUCUCUCAGCUGGAAAUAGCCCGAGGGUUCUGCAAGCCCUCUGACCCCUGUCCCAUGUCACUGCUGUCGCUGUCCAGAGGAGGUGACAGGAUCUAGGGCUGCAUUUUCAGGGAGGUGAGUGCUGGGGACCUGUGGGGGCGCCCCGGGAGGAGCAGUCCUGGGCACCCACCUUCAGCCCGAUGGUGAUCACACUGUCUUCCCAGCGCUGCUGAUGUCAGGACCCUCAUCUGUUUCGAUGCCAAUGCAGCCCAUCAACCAGACUCUUUCUACCGGUUGAAUUAAGUGGUCCAUUUCAUCUUAACCAUUUCUGCCUUUCCUGGAGUCUUUGCGAAGAGCACAGAUACAUUACAUUUCAAAGCAAAAAGGGAACCGUGACGACCCUCUCUAUUUUAAAAUUUUUAUUGGAGUACAGUUGAUUGAUGGGGCUUCCCAGGUGGCCCAGUGGUAAAGAAUCUGCCUGCCAAUGCAGGAGAGGCAGGGAGGAGACCUGGUUAGAUAGCUGGGGGGCAAGAUCUGGAGAAGGAAAUGGCAACCCACUCCUGGAGGAUCCCAUGGACAGAGGAGCCUGGUGGGCUAAGGUCCAUGAGGUUGCAAGAGUCCGACACUGUUUAGCAAGUGAGCGCGUGCACACACACAUACGCACACAACUGAUUUACAAUGCUGUGUGAGUUUCAAGUGUGCAGCAAAGUGAAUCAGUUAUACACAUGUAUGUAUCCACUCUUUAAGAUUCUUUUCUGUAUAGGCUAUUACCCGGUAUCGAGUAGAGUUCCCUGUGCUAUACAGUAGGUUUCUUUUUUUUUUAAGUCUUUAUUUUCAUUUUCUUCUGUUAUGUGUGUGUGUGUGUGUGUGUGUGUGCGCGCGCACGCGCGCGUGUGCGUGUUAGUUACUUAGUCCUGUAUGCUCUUUGCGACCCCACGGUUUCUCUGUCCAUGGGGAUUCUCCAGGCAAGAAUACUGGAGUGGGUUGCCAUUUCCUUCUCCUACAGUAGGUUAGUGUGUACCUGUCAGUCCCAAUCUCUCAGUUUUAUCCCCCUAACCUCCUCAUCCCCUGGUAACCAUGAGCUUGUUUUCCAGUGAUGGCCCUCUCUAAGGGGAGGUUAAUCAUUCACACUGGGUAAGAACAAUCAUUUACAAGCUCAUCACAGCUUGCCUGUUUUGCUCUUCACUUUGCCCCCAUGAGUUAGGAGAGGCAGAUGCUGCCUCCAUUUUACAGAAGGAGAAGCAGAGGCAUAGAAGAACAACAGACGCCUCUGUGAGCCCACACUCCCUAGAACGGUACCUGUGAUGAUCCAGAGGUGUGUGACCUUGACCUCAGGUAUUAACACCGAGGGACUGAGCCUGACUCUCUAUUGACAGAAGUUCAACUCAGGUCUGAGGAGUUCACUUCUUAGUGCAGUCUCCAUGGAAGAAAUCUGUGCCUCUUGGAGUCCACCAUGCUCUGGAGAAUGCAAGCUCCCUUCAUGGAGAGGCCACACAGAAAGAGCUAACAGAGGGAGGGGCCAGUCCUGGUCCCCACAUCAUCCCAGUUAAGCACCCCACUGUGAGUUAAGGAGACACCUUGGAUGUCCAACCUAGAAAGCUUGAAGGUGACCUCACUCCAGCCACAGACAGACCACAUUCAGCUGAGGAUCCAAGCCAUGAGAUUAUGAGAGAAGGAACUAUGGUCUGGAACCACUAUGCUUUGGAGCAGUUUGUUACACUGAUGACUAAAUUGCCACCAAAAGAGAAACUAGAGAUGCGGGGGGCGGGGUUGGUGGUGAAUCAGGGUUUCUAAGUGUAAUCUUACACAUGCAUUGUAGCUGUAAUCAUUGAUAACAUAUUUUGGCUUUUCCCCCCUGAAAG